CAAAGGUUUGGUCCUGACUUUACUAUCGACUUUAGCUAAACUUACACAUGCAAGUAUCCGCACCCCUGUGAGAAUGCCCUACAGUUCCCUAUCUGGGAACAAGGAGCUGGUAUCAGGCACAUCUUACUUAGCCCACGACACCUUGCUUAGCCACACCCUCAAGGGAACUCAGCAGUGAUAAACAUUAAGCCAUAAGUGAAAACUUGACUUAGUUAAAGCUAAGAGGGUCGGUAAACCUCGUGCCAGCCACCGCGGUUAUACGAGAGACCCAAGUUGAUAGACACCGGCGUAAAGAGUGGUUAAGACAAACUAGAUACUAAAGCCGAACGCCCUCAGAGCUGUUAUACGCAUCCGAAGGUAAGAAGUUCAACCACGAAAGUGGCUUUAUACUAUCUGAUCCCACGAAAGCUAAGGCACAAACUGGGAUUAGAUACCCCACUAUGCCUAGCCCUAAACAUUGGUAAUUUACUACACCUAUUACCCGCCCGGGUACUACGAGCAUUAGCUUAAAACCCAAAGGACUUGGCGGUGCUUUAGAUCCACCUAGAGGAGCCUGUUCUAGAACCGAUAACCCCCGUUCAACCUCACCUUUUCUUGUUUAACCCGCCUAUAUACCACCGUCGUCAGCUUACCCUGUGAAGGCCUCAUAGUAAGCAAAAUUGGCACAGCCCAAAACGUCAGGUCGAGGUGUAGCGUAUGAAAAGGGAAGAAAUGGGCUACAUUCUCUAAUACAGAGAAUACGAACGAUACGCUGAAACACGUAUACUGAAGGAGGAUUUAGCAGUAAGCAGAAAAUAGAGCGUUCCGCUGAAAUCGGCCCUGAAGCGCGCACACACCGCCCGUCACUCUCCCCAAGCGUAUGUAAACACAUAACUAAAACCCCACAGCUGCAAAGGGGAGGCAAGUCGUAACAUGGUAAGUGUACCGGAAGGUGCACUUGGAAAAAU
This 947-nucleotide non-coding RNA is filed under the name Etelis oculatus (queen snapper). RNAcentral's name for it is "12S ribosomal RNA". It matches the Rfam family "Bacterial small subunit ribosomal RNA". The record is from RNAcentral. Lineage: Eukaryota; Metazoa; Chordata; Actinopteri; Lutjaniformes; Lutjanidae.